GUAAGUAAGAAAUGUCCUUUGCCCAGUUAUUUUGAAAUACAAAAAAAUGUAUUUACUGUUCUGUAACAUUUUGUAUACUUAUACAGAAUGCUGUACACCUGCUCUGUUCAGUAGUUGCAAGCUCGUUGUUUUCUGGGCAGUUCAGAUGCCUCACCAAGAUGAAGUUCCCAGUUGAAGACAUGUGGCUGUGCCCUGUGAACUUUGGUACACACUGGAUUCUUGUGAUUGUCAACAUUUCUGCACAGAAAAUACUGCUCAUAGACCCCAUGGGGAAUGAAGGUGUUUAUGACAGGAAAAUUCUGCGCAACUGGAGGAAUUUUCUGAGGAUGAGAGGGCAUGAAGACACCAUGGAGUGGCAGUUACACACUAUGCAACACAACAAGCAACAGGAUUCCAGCAGUUGCGGAGUUUUGCUGUUAAAGGGAACGCUGAGGACUACUGCAUUGUUUGCUCUAUGUUAGAUGCUGAUGCUGACCGCAGCAUGAUUGAAAUGGUGCAGUGUGAAUCUUGCCAAAGAUGGGCACAUUUUGCAUGUGCAAAAUAUAAAGAGAGCAAUCAAGAAUAUAAAUGCAAAAAAUGUAAGGAAAACACAUAACAACUUCAAAUAAAAACACCUGUCUUUUCCC
Long non-coding RNA from Oreochromis aureus, 626 nucleotides. NCBI's taxonomy places the organism in Eukaryota, Metazoa, Chordata, Actinopteri, Cichliformes, Cichlidae. The record is from Ensembl.